GUGGGGAAUAUUGCGCAAUGGGCGAAAGCCUGACGCAGCAACGCCGCGUGGAGGAUGAAGGUCUUCGGAUCGUAAACUCCUGUCAGAGGGGACGAAAGCCCGAAAGGGAUUGACUGUACCCUCUGAGGAAGCCACGGCUAACUCCGUGCCAGCAGCCGCGGUAAUACGGAGGUGGCAAGCGUUGUUCGGAAUUAUUGGGCGUAAAGGGCGCGUAGGCGGCAGGGCAAGUCAGAUGUGAAAGCCCCGGGCUUAACUUGGGAAUUGCAUCUGAAACUGCUUUGCUUGAGUCCUGGAGGGGGUAGUGGAAUUCCCAGUGUAGCGGUGAAAUGCGUAGAUAUUGGGAGGAACACCUGCGGCGAAGGCGGCUACCUGGACAGUGACUGACGCUGAGGCGCGAAAGCUAGGGGAGCGAACGGGAUUAGAAACCCGAGUAGUCC
Molecule: ribosomal RNA, 437 nt
Filed under: uncultured bacterium
Lineage: Bacteria
Description: bacterial SSU rRNA
Rfam family: Bacterial small subunit ribosomal RNA
Source: RNAcentral